Molecule: ribosomal RNA, 1979 nt
Filed under: human gut metagenome
Description: bacterial LSU rRNA
Rfam family: Bacterial large subunit ribosomal RNA
Source: RNAcentral
UUAAGUGAACAAGGGCAUACGGCGGAUGCCUUGGCGCCAAGAGCCGAUGAAGGACGCGGUAAGCUGCGAAAAGGCAUGGGUAGGAGCAAGCAUCCAGUGAUCCAUGCAUAUCCGAAUGGGGCAACCCACCAUCAGUCAUGUGAUGGUACGAAAGAGGCAGACCUGGGGAACUGAAACAUCUAAGUACCCAGAGGAAAAGUAAUCAAUUGAGAUUCCCUAAGUAGCGGCGAGCGAAAGGGGAAGAGCCCAAACCAUGAAACUUCGGUUUUGUGGGGUUGAGGACCGGCAUAAAGAGGAAACUUCUUAGUCGAAUGGUUUGGAAAGGCCAUGCACAGAAGGUAAAACACCUGUAGGCGAAAAGAAGUCAAUCGGGCUGGUAUCCAGAGUACUGCGAGACACGUGAAACCUUGCAGGAAGCAGGGGGGACCACCCUCCAAGGCAAAAUACUACUUGGCGACCGAUAGCGCAUAGUACCGUGAGGGAAAGGUGAAAAGAACCCCGGGAGGGGAGUGAAAUAGAACCUGAAACCGUAUGUCUACAAGCAGUCGAAGCACCUUAAGAGUGCGACGGCGUGCCUAUUGAAGAAUGAACCGGCGAGUUACAUUAUGUUGCGAGGUUAAGUGGGAGACACGGAGCCGAAGCGAAAGCGAGUCUUAAUAGGGCGACUAGUAACAUGGUGUAGACCCGAAACCGCAGUGAUCUAUCCAUGGUCAGGUUGAAGCGCAGGUAAAAAUGCGUGGAGGACCGAACCCGUGAGUGUUGAAAAACUUUGGGAUGAACCGUGGAUAGGGGUGAAAUGCCAAUCGAACGCGGAGAUAGCUGGUACUCCCCGAAAUAGCUUUAGGGCUAGCCUCAGGGAAGAUUAUAGACGGUAGAGCACUGAUCUGGCAAGGGGGCGUAAAGCCUACCGACCCUAGUCAAACUUCGAAUGGCUAUAAUUAAGACCCUGGGAGUCAGACUGCGAGUGAUAAGACCCGUAGUCAAGAGGGAAACAGCCCAGACCGCCGACUAAGGUCCCCAAUGCUGUACUAAGUGGAAAAGGAUGUAAGACUUCAUAAACAACCAGGAUGUUGGCUUAGAAGCAGCCACCAUUAAAAGAGUGCGUAAUAGCUCACUGGUCGAGAGGCCUUGCGCCGAAGAUGUCCGGGGCUCAAGUACAGAACCGAAGUCGCGGCAGGAUUAUAUAAUUCUGGGUAGGGGAGCGUUGUAUAUCCGACUGAAGGUGUACCGGAAGGAGCGCUGGAGGAUAUACAAGAGAGAAUGCCGGUAUGAGUAGCGAAAAGAACAGUGAGAAUCUGUUCCACCGAAAGCCUAAGGUUUCCUGAGCAACGCUCGUCGACUCAGGGUAAGUCGGGACCUAAGCCGAGGCAAAAAGCAUAGGCGAUGGACAACAGGUUAAUAUUCCUGUACCGCUUCAAAUCGUUUGAGCAAUGGAGUGACACAGAAGGUAGCUUGAGCACGCGAAUGGAUGUGCGUGUCGAAGGUGGUAGGUUGCAGUAUAGGUAAAUCCGUACUGUAUAAGACCGAGAACUGAUAGAUAGACGAUACUUCGGUAAAGUCAAAUUCAAGUGAGCCAUGCUGUCGAGAAAAGCUUCUAGUGAGAGAUGAGGCGCCCGUACCGAAACCGACACAGGUAGGCGGGGAGAGAAUCCUAAGGUGCGCGGGACAACCCUCGUUAAGGAACUCGGCAAAUUGUAUCCGUAACUUAGGGAUAAGGAUAGCCGGAGGAUGUGAAGGGAUUUACUUCUGGAGCGUCAGCCGGUGGCACAAGAGAGGCCCAAGCGACUGUUUAGCACAAACACAGGUGCCUGCAAAAGAGAAAUCUGACGUAUAGGUGCUGACACCUGCCCGGUGCUGGAAGGUUAAGAGGAGGGCUUAGAGGAAACUCGAAGGCUUGAAUUGAAGCCCCAGUAAACGGCGGCCGUAACUAUAACGGUCCUAAGGUAGCGAAAUUCCUUGUCGGGUAAGUUCCGACCCGC